AUUGAACGCUGGCGGCAGGCUUAACACAUGCAAGUCGAGCGGGGGAAGGUAGCUUGCUACUGGACCUAGCGGCGGACGGGUGAGUAAUGCUUAGGAAUCUGCCUAUUAGUGGGGGACAACAUCUCGAAAGGGAUGCUAAUACCGCAUACGUCCUACGGGAGAAAGCAGGGGAUCUUCGGACCUUGCGCUAAUAGAUGAGACUAAGUCGGAUUAGCUAGUUGGGGGGGUAAAGGCCUACCAAGGCGACGAUCUGCAGCGGGUCUGAGAGGAUGAUCCGCCACACUGGGACUGAGACACGGCCCAGACUCCUACGGGAGGCAGCAGUGGGGAAUAUUGGACAAUGGGGGGAACCCUGAUCCAGCCAUGCCGCGUGUGUGAAGAAGGCCUUAUGGUUGUAAAGCACUUUAAGCGAGGAGGAGGCUACUUUAGUUAAUACCUAGAGAUAGUGGACGUUACUCGCAGAAUAAGCACCGGCUAACUCUGUGCCAGCCGCCGCGGUAA
RNAcentral lists this ribosomal RNA (501 nucleotides) under uncultured bacterium. Its description in RNAcentral is "partial 16S ribosomal RNA". It matches the Rfam family "Bacterial small subunit ribosomal RNA", at positions 30 to 523 of the family's 1533-position model. The record is from RNAcentral.